GGGGGGGGUCAAGGGAGAACUUGAAGGGGGCAGGGCAGAAGGGACCCCCGGAACCCUGCCGCCAUCAGAGAUCAAGCAUUUGGCAUCAGGGAUCUUCGGACCCAGCAAAAGGAUCAGCCACAAGGGAGGUGUCCUCCCUAGGAAGCCAACGAGAGAGUCACCUGCCCCACAUCAGGAGCAGGGACCCCCUCAUGACGCUGCUGGCAACUAUAGCAGGCCCCUAGCCCCUCAGCCUCCUUCCUAUCUCCUUCUUCUGACUCUUAUUCCAUCUCCUUUGGCAUUUGUGCCUUUGCUCCCCGCCCUCUGAGCUCCAGCUACCACCCAAACGCCCCAGGGCUUGGCUGCCCUGACCCUCAUCCUGGAAUAUUUGCCAGAUCUCUGGGAGGGAGAUCCUUUGCUUGGGCUAUGCCCCCUGGGGGUCUGACAGUGUCUGCCUAGACCCCUGACCCCUAGCCCUCAACUCCCCACGACUCCUUUGUGUGAAGAGCCCUCCUCUGCUCAGCACUGUGGUUGGGGGCCAAAGGGAAAGCCGGCCCUGCUGGGCCCCUGGGCCCUACCACCUGCCUCCUGGUUGGGCAGCUUCCCUUGUCUUUGGGCCUCUCCCUGUUCCCCCGGCCCCUCCUCCUGGGCCGCCCCAAUGAAGGAGCCGGAUGCCAUCAAGCUGUUUGUGGGGCAGAUCCCGAGGCAUCUGGAGGAAAAGGACCUGAAGCCCAUCUUCGAGCAGUUUGGUCGGAUCUUCGAGCUGACUGUCAUCAAGGACAAGUACACCGGGCUGCACAAGGGAUGUGCUUUCCUGACGUACUGUGCUCGCGAUUCAGCCCUGAAGGCCCAGAGUGCCCUGCACGAACAGAAGACUCUCCCAGGGAUGAACAGGCCGAUCCAGGUCAAGCCAGCCGACAGCGAGAGUCGAGGAGAAGACCGGAAGCUCUUUGUGGGGAUGCUAGGAAAGCAGCAGACAGAUGAGGAUGUCCGGAAGAUGUUUGAACCGUUUGGGACUAUAGACGAGUGCACUGUGCUCCGGGGGCCAGACGGGACCAGCAAAGGCUGUGCCUUUGUGAAGUUCCAGACUCAUGCUGAGGCCCAGGCAGCCAUUAACACUCUUCACAGCAGCCGGACUCUACCGGGUGCCUCAUCCAGCCUGGUGGUAAAGUUUGCUGACACAGAGAAGGAGCGAGGUCUCCGCCGGAUGCAGCAGGUGGCUACCCAGCUGGGCAUGUUCAGCCCUAUCGCCCUCCAGUUUGGAGCCUACAGCGCCUACACCCAGGCCCUGAUGCAGCAGCAGGCGGCCCUGGUAGCAGCUCACAGUGCCUACCUCAGCCCUAUGGCCACCAUGGCUGCCGUGCAGAUGCAGCACAUGGCUGCCAUCAAUGCCAAUGGCCUCAUCGCCACCCCCAUCACUCCAUCCUCAGGAACCAGCACCCCUCCUGCCAUUGCUGCCACGCCGGUCUCUGCCAUUCCUGCUGCCUUGGGCGUCAACGGCUACAGCCCAGUGCCCACCCAGCCCACGGGGCAGCCUGCCCCUGAUGCUCUCUAUCCCAACGGGGUUCACCCUUACCCAGACGAGGCUCUGUCUGCUGAGAGAAGUGCUGGUGAGGCUCCCAUUAUGCCCCAGACCCACUCAUGGCUUGUGAUGCUCUCUGCAGCCCAGAGCCCUGCAGCCCCUGUGGACCCUCUCCAGCAGGCCUACGCAGGAAUGCAGCACUACACAGCAGCCUACCCUGCAGCCUACAGCCUGGUUGCACCUGCGUUCCCGCAGCCUCCAGCCCUGGUCGCCCAGCAGCCCCCACCACCACCUCAGCAGCAACAGCAGCAGCAGCAGCAACAGCAGCAGCAGCAGCAGCAGCAACAGCAGCAGCAGCAGCAGCGGGAAGGCCCUGAUGGCUGUAACAUCUUCAUCUACCACCUGCCCCAGGAGUUCACAGACUCCGAGAUCCUCCAGAUGUUUGUCCCUUUUGGUCAUGUCAUCUCAGCCAAAGUCUUUGUUGACCGGGCCACCAAUCAGAGCAAAUGUUUUGGCUUUGUGAGUUUCGACAAUCCGGCCAGUGCCCAGGCUGCCAUCCAGGCUAUGAACGGUUUCCAGAUUGGCAUGAAGCGCCUCAAAGUCCAGCUAAAGCGGCCUAAGGAUGCAAACAGACCCUACUAAGGGCUUCAGGUGGGUGCUGCUCUUGUUCUGUGACUUCAGUGUCAGGCUUCACACACUGCAGCCAGACCCCUUAGGUAAAUGUCCCACCCUUCCACUACCACCCACCUCACCCUGAUGCUAGACAUGAGGAUUGAAAUCCGGGCCACUCCCCCCACUACAGUUGUGUCUCCCACCCACAUAUGCCUCUGUGUGUGCAUAUGUACGUGCACGUGCACGUGCGCGCGCGCGUACACACACACACACACACACACACACACACACACACACACACACACACACACAAAAGCAUCCCAGAGAGAUCCAAGUCUACACCUGUGUCUACUGGAGUUUUCCACAGUAUCUGGUCUUGUUUGUCUGGUCAGCGUUCAUGUGUCUGUGUCUUUCUCUUUCUGGUUUUCUUUUGGGUGGAUGGAAUUGGUAAGAGUAGGUUUUGGGGGCUAGGAGGCUGGUUUGGAGAACUGGAGGGUUGUAGAGCCUCUUGGUUUUGAGACCUGUUCUCCAGAGAAGUGGAGACAGAUCGGUUCCCAUUGCCCUGAACUGCAGCUGAUUUCCCAGGGCCGCAGCAGAACACAGUGCAGGUGGGAGUGGGCGUGGUUUUGCUUAGUGGAGGAAGUGGAAUUGUACUAAGUAGCCCUCAGCCCACUGUAGGCUGCCACCCAACCUUGGGGCACAGACCUGUAGCCCUACUUACCUUUGAUUUGUUUAAUCUCCCUUGGCCCAAACCUUGAAAAAUCACAACCCAAGAACAAUACCCACAUUUCUGUUUCUCCCCUUUCCCCCCAAUCCUGGCUGCUUAACUCCCCCCACCCUGGGGGCCCUCAGCCCAGGGUCCGUGUCAUUGUCGGCUGAAGCCCCCAUCCCGGACCCCUGCUCCGGGCCCCUGUCUGGAGAUACCAGAGGAAGGGGCACUUCGUACCCUCUUCCUAUGACUGGCCCUGGCCUUCUCUGCACAUCUGCCCUGGGCCUUGAUUGGACUUGGGGCAAAAGCUGCUUCAUGGCCCAAAGGGCCUAGGACCUGGCUCAUUCCCACCAUCUUGCCUCUCUGGAGGGCCAGUUUUGCCUCCCUGCCUCCAAGAGCCUAUUUCCUCCCCGGUGCCCUUUUGGCCUUUUGUGAGGAAGUGAGGAAUAGGCUUGAAGGUUCAGGGGCAUCUGCCUUCUGCUAAGGCUCCUGAGAUGAGCUCUGUAACCACUGUUCACACUUGCCUCCCCUCAGUGGGCCUGAAGUAGCUGUGGAGGCCCAGGAGGACAGCAGGGCAUUCUCUUUCCCAAGCGCCCUCACCUAGCCUCUCCUCCACGGCUCGGCCUUCUCAGAAGCUGGCUCCCACAUUCCCCUCCACCCUCACCUAGAGGUAGGAUAUCUCCAAAUCCCGGGCUCCCAGCCCUAAAACUCACUGCCUUCCCCAAGGGCCCCCUCCAAGGAGGAUGUGGGGGCCCUGAGGGCUGCCUCUCUGCCAGUCAGUCACAGAGACCCUUUUUUCAUGAGGAAAAGACCUUCCCCUGAAUCCCUAAAAAUGUUUACAGUCUCUGCUGGCCCUCCAUGUAAAUACCAUGAGCACCAGGGCAUUAACUAGCCCACCCAGCCAGACGCUGCCAUCUCUCUUUCUGAGAGUUUAGACAAUGUUACCCUUGGAUUCUUUUUUUUUUUUUUUCCCUCUCUUGAUUUUUCUCCCUUUGCUUUGGGGGUAAUUGGGUAUUUUGGGGGAAGGGUACCGGGAGGGCUAAAGGGGUUUAUUACCUGAUCAUUUUCUUUAGGAAGAGGUUUUAGAGAGAAGAACAUGGGGUGGGAGUGGGAGGUGAAGGGCGAGAAGGGGAAAUCAAUCUCUGACACUUCUCUACACUUAACUUAUUUACUGAGUUUUACUUUUAAAGAGUUGGCCUUUUCUGUCUAAAUAAAGAAAAACAUUUGAAAGCAUCAA
This is an RNA transcript of Rattus norvegicus (Norway rat), 4059 nucleotides long. It is a transcript of the gene named CUGBP, Elav-like family member 3, with no coding region annotated. The record is from RefSeq and is marked validated. NCBI's taxonomy places the organism in Eukaryota, Metazoa, Chordata, Mammalia, Rodentia, Muridae.